Molecule: ribosomal RNA, 423 nt
Filed under: uncultured prokaryote
Description: bacterial SSU rRNA
Rfam family: Bacterial small subunit ribosomal RNA
Source: RNAcentral
UGGGGAAUCUUGGACAAUGGGGGCAACCCUGAUCCAGCGACGCCGCGUGGGUGGUAAGGCCUUCGGGUUGUAAAGCCCUUUCACCGGGGAAGAUGAUGACAUUACCCGGAGAAGAAGCGCCGGCUAACUCCGUGCCAGCAGCCGCGGUAAUACGGAGGAUGCAAGCGUUAUUCGGAAUUAUUGGGCGUAAAGCGUCCGCAGGUGGUGCCUCAAGUCUGCUGUCAAAGACCGAAGCUCAACUUCGGGCAGGCAGUGGAAACUGAAGCACUAGAGUACGGUAGGGGUAGAGGGAAUUUCCAGUGUAGCGGUGAAAUGCGUAGAGAUUGGAAAGAACACCAGUGGCGAAGGCGCUCUACUGGACCGUAACUGACACUCAGGGACGAAAGCUAGGGGAGCGAAAGGGAUUAGAUACCCCCGUAGUCC